UGGGGAAUAUUGCACAAUGGGCGCAAGCCUGAUGCAGCCAUGCCGCGUGUGUGAAGAAGGCCUUCGGGUUGUAAAGCACUUUCAGCGAGGAGGAAGGGUUCAGUGUUAAUAGCACUGUUCAUUGACGUUACUCGCAGAGGAAGCACCGGCUAACUCCGUGCCAGCAGCCGCGGUAAUACGGAGGGUGCAAGCGUUAAUCGGAAUUACUGGGCGUAAAGCGCACGCAGGCGGUUUGUUAAGUCAGAUGUGAAAUCCCCGCGCUUAACGUGGGAACUGCA
Molecule: ribosomal RNA, 278 nt
Filed under: uncultured bacterium
Lineage: Bacteria
Description: partial 16S ribosomal RNA
Rfam family: Bacterial small subunit ribosomal RNA
Source: RNAcentral